UACAGAGGUCUCAAGCGUUGUUCGGAUUCAUUGGGCGUAAAGGGUGCGUAGGUGGCGCGGUAAGUCGGGUGUGAAAUUUCGGAGCUUAACUCCGAAACUGCAUUCGAUACUGCCGUGCUUGAGGACUGGAGAGGAGACUGGAAUUUACGGUGUAGCAGUGAAAUGCGUAGAGAUCGUAAGGAAAACCAGUGGCGAAGGCGGGUCUCUGGACAGUUCCUGACACUGAGGCACGAAGGCCAGGGGAGCAAACGGG
RNAcentral lists this ribosomal RNA (253 nucleotides) under uncultured bacterium. Its description in RNAcentral is "partial 16S ribosomal RNA". It matches the Rfam family "Bacterial small subunit ribosomal RNA", at positions 524 to 776 of the family's 1533-position model. The record is from RNAcentral.